UACCUGCAGCUCGAGUGGUAACCGCUAUUAUUGGGCCUAAAGCGUCCGUAGCCGGUUUGGUAAAUAUCUGGGUAAAUCGUGAGGCUUAACUUCACGAAUUUCGGAUAGACUGCCAGACUUGGGAUCGGGGGAGGUCAGAGGUACUCCAGGGGUAGCGGUGAAAUGUUGUAAUCCUUGGAGGACCACCGGUAGCGAAGGCGUCUGACUAGAACGAGUCCGACGGUGAGGGACGAAGCCCUGGGGCGCAAACCGGAUUAGAUACCCGGGUAGUCCAGGGUGUAAACGAUGUGGGCUUUGUAUUGGAGGUCCCACGUGGGCGUCCAGUGCAGAAGAGAAGUUGUUAAGCCCACCGCCUGGGAAGUACGGUCGCAAGGCUGAAACUUAAAGGAAUUGGCGGGGGAGCGCAGCAACGGGAGGAGCGUGCGGUUU
RNAcentral lists this ribosomal RNA (429 nucleotides) under uncultured archaeon. RNAcentral's name for it is "bacterial SSU rRNA". It matches the Rfam family "Archaeal small subunit ribosomal RNA", at positions 474 to 903 of the family's 1478-position model. The record is from RNAcentral.